RNAcentral lists this ribosomal RNA (468 nucleotides) under uncultured bacterium. Its description in RNAcentral is "partial 16S ribosomal RNA". It matches the Rfam family "Bacterial small subunit ribosomal RNA", at positions 28 to 507 of the family's 1533-position model. The record is from RNAcentral.
GACGAACGCUGGCGGCGUGCUUAACACAUGCAAGUCGAACGGAAAGGCCCUGCUUUUGUGGGGUGCUCGAGUGGCGAACGGGUGAGUAACACGUGAGUAACCUGCCCUUGACUUUGGGAUAACUUCAGGAAACUGGGGCUAAUACCGGUUAGGAGCUCCUGCUGCAUGGUGGGGGUUGGAAAGUUUCGGCGGUUGGGGAUGGACUUGCGGCUUAUCAGCUUGUUGGUGGGGUAGUGGCUUACCAAGGCUUCGACGGGUAGCCGGCCUGAGAGGGUGACCGGCCACAUGGGGACUGAGAUACGGCCCAGACUCCUACGGGAGGCAGCAGUGAGGAAUAUUGCACAAUGGGCGGAAGCCUGAUGCAGCAACGCCGCGUGCGGGAUGACGGCCUUCGGGUUGUAAACCGCUUUCGCCUGGGACGAAGCGUGAGUGACGGUAAUGGGAAAAGAAGCACCGGCUAACUACGUG